This is a long non-coding RNA of Sphaeramia orbicularis (orbiculate cardinalfish), 428 nucleotides long. RefSeq lists it as uncharacterized. The transcript is spliced from 3 exons. The record is from RefSeq and is a predicted model, not a curated record. NCBI's taxonomy places the organism in Eukaryota, Metazoa, Chordata, Actinopteri, Kurtiformes, Apogonidae.
AGACUUGGUGUCAAAUCUGAUCAUUAGGGUGGUGGUCCUUGUCCCAGCUCUGCUCAUAUUUGAUCUUUGCCUCUUCUUCUUCUAUAAGGUCUCCGUGAAGCGGAUCCGAUUGAAGGCGGAGUCAAACACAAUGAGAGUUCUGGAAGAAACCUCCCAUUUGUAGAGUCCCAGUUGUUCAGUGUGAGUCCAGCUGAUAUUUGGAUCGGAUCAACAGUUUCACAGCUGAACCAAUAAACGCCUUCAUUCUGUUCUGAUGCUUCACCAUCCAUCAGCGUCUCAGCUUCUAUUCACAGAGUUUAUACACAUUGUGUCAUCACACCGUCCAUACACAGCCGUGUGUGGAAUUUGAAGAGUCUGGGUCAAAGGGAAAUAUGAAACCCACCUGAAAAUGGGACGCAAACUGAGGCGCAGACGCAGCCUGAAGCACC